Molecule: ribosomal RNA, 700 nt
Filed under: uncultured bacterium
Lineage: Bacteria
Description: bacterial SSU rRNA
Rfam family: Bacterial small subunit ribosomal RNA
Source: RNAcentral
CGUGGGAACGUGCCCUUUUCUACGGAAUAGCCUCUGGAAACGGAGAGUAAUACCGUAUACGCCCUUUGGGGGAAAGAUUUAUCGGAGAAGGAUCGGCCCGCGUUAGAUUAGGUAGUUGGUGGGGUAACGGCCUACCAAGCCUACGAUCUAUAGCUGGUUUUAGAGGAUGAUCAGCAACACUGGGACUGAGACACGGCCCAGACUCCUACGGGAGGCAGCAGUGGGGAAUCUUAGACAAUGGGGGCAACCCUGAUCUAGCCAUGCCGCGUGAGUGAUGAAGGCCUUAGGGUCGUAAAGCUCUUUCGCCUGUGAUGAUAAUGACAGUAGCAGGUAAAGAAACCCCGGCUAACUCCGUGCCAGCAGCCGCGGUAAUACGGAGGGGGUUAGCGUUGUUCGGAAUUACUGGGCGUAAAGCGCGCGUAGGCGGAUUAGAAAGUUGGGGGUGAAAUCCCGGGGCUCAACCCCGGAACUGCCUCCAAAACUGCUAGUCUAGAGUUCGAGAGAGGUGAGUGGAAUUCCGAGUGUAGAGGUGAAAUUCGUAGAUAUUCGGAGGAACACCAGUGGCGAAGGCGGCUCACUGGCUCGAUACUGACGCUGAGGUGCGAAAGUGUGGGGAGCAAACAGGAUUAGAUACCCUGGUAGUCCACACCGUAAACGAUGAAUGCCAGUCGUCGGAUAGUAUACUAUUCGGUGACACACC